UACGUAGGGUGCAAGCGUUAAUCGGAAUUACUGGGCGUAAAGCGUGCGCAGGCGGUCUUGCAAGACAGAUGUGAAAUCCCCGGGCUCAACCUGGGACCUGCAUUUGUGACUGUAUAGCUAGAGUACGGUAGAGGGGGAUGGAAUUCCGCGUGUAGCAGUGAAAUGCGUAGAUAUGCGGAGGAACACCGAUGGCGAAGGCAAUCCCCUGGACCUGUACUGACGCUCAUGCACGAAAGCGUGGGGAGCAAACAGG
This 253-nucleotide ribosomal RNA is filed under the name uncultured bacterium. RNAcentral describes it as "partial 16S ribosomal RNA". It matches the Rfam family "Bacterial small subunit ribosomal RNA", at positions 524 to 776 of the family's 1533-position model. The record is from RNAcentral.